RNAcentral lists this long non-coding RNA (912 nucleotides) under Apteryx owenii (little spotted kiwi). RNAcentral's name for it is "lncRNA (ENSAOWG00000017015.1)". The record is from RNAcentral. Lineage: Eukaryota; Metazoa; Chordata; Aves; Apterygiformes; Apterygidae.
CCACAAUAACUAUAGGUUUGUGUGUCUCAAUCCAGGAAUAAGCAAGGACCAAAGACAGCUGCAGGCUGCAAUUGCAUGGGAAAGCAUUGCUGGAGGUCGCGAGGUUUGCAGCUCUUCUGUAGGAGCCAUCCCUCUCACCGCAAUCCCGAGCCCCUUCUGGGAAAACAGACAAUUUUGCCACGCAAAGUCCACCUGAACUAAUUCUGCACAGCACCAAAGCAUGCCUGGCAAUCCUUAUUUCAUGAGCUCCCUGUCUACUCUCUGAUGGGAACCAUUGCAUCGGAUUGGUCACUUUUUGUGCUAGCUGCUCUCCUGCUGAAAGAGCUUCAAAUCCACUUGGAGAUCAUCCCUGGGCUUGCUCCAGUGUGCAGCCCCAGGAGAUCUGCAGGAAGAAGUCUGAGUGUCCCAAACGCCCCAGGUGCAGGGAGCACAUCCCACUGCUUCCCCUCGGGCAGCCUCUGCAACGUCACCGAGGCAUCUACUCCACUGUCCCGUGCCUGCGACAUCCUAAAGUGAGUCCAAAAAUACAAGAGAGAGAACACCUAGGAGAAGCAUGUGAAUCCUCCUUGGUGUCCAUGGACCAAGAGUUGGGCAGGGCUGUUUCCUAGAUACCUUAGAAAGAUCUGCCAGUGGCAGUUUCCCCUCAAAAAGACUCCUUGUUAACAUUGCCUUGGGAUCAUGGUCAUAAGAUCAAGAACAGUUUGGAGUAUUUUACUGAAUGAAAUGCUGAGGCAUCUGUCUCUCUUCAGGGCACAUUCCCAUGAUGUACCACAGCCAGUUUUGCCGUUGGCAUGACAAGUUUCUCCCCGGAUAGUAACUAUGACAACAGGAUUUCACUGUGUUUUCUUCAGUGGGAAGAACCCUUUUAUUACCGUGCAAUUUGUUAGACUAAUAAAGCCCUGAAAUGCAUCA